This 765-nucleotide long non-coding RNA is filed under the name Triticum aestivum (bread wheat). RNAcentral's name for it is "long non-coding RNA (TAES_LNC007466)". The record is from RNAcentral. Lineage: Eukaryota; Viridiplantae; Streptophyta; Magnoliopsida; Poales; Poaceae.
GGACAGCCAUCGGAGCGCCGCCGUCGGACUAAGGCGCCACCCUUCCCUCCUGUCCUUCCCUCCUCGCCCUCCAGUUCUAUCUCUCACCUCCCUCUCUCUCUCUCUCCUUCGCAGCAAGCCAUGGCUGCCGGGCCUCCAUGCCUCCACGAGCUCGCCGCCGGCCUGUGACACAAAGAGAGGGAGACGACGAGAGGAGGUCGAGGCCAAUGCGGGAGAUGCUCCUGCUGACACGCACAUGCAGAAUCGCGAUGGCGGGCGUCGGUGAAGAUUCUGACGAAUGACGCGGGCAUGACGACGGGAGUUUUGAGAUCUGGGCAGCGCCAUUGUUGUGGUGCUGACACGCACAUGCAGGAUCGCGACGGCGGGUUUCGGUGAAGGUUCUGAAUGAUGCGGGCGUGACAGCGGCAGUUCUGAGAUCCAUGGGCGGCGCCAUUAUUGUGCCGGAGUUGCUACGUCCUGCUCGAGAGAGAAGAGAGGGUGAGAAGAGAGAGAGGAGACCGGGGAGAAGCGCGGGAAGGAGCUGGCUCACCAGCGGGGUGCUACUGCAGAUCGCCGGCGGGAGGGUUGGCUCGACCCAUUGGGCAUUGGGUUCGCUGCGGGGGAAAAGGGCCCUUGAGAGCUGCCUCCUUCAUGGACGAGGGUGCGAGGAGGCGCUCGAUCAACUCACUCAGGUUCGAGCUGCGGGAGAGGGGCGCCUGCUCGUGCCUGCUUCUUGGACGAGGGAGCGAGGAGGCGCUCGCGCUCGAGCACGGCGGGCGAUCUGUG